Molecule: non-coding RNA, 894 nt
Organism: Ictidomys tridecemlineatus (thirteen-lined ground squirrel)
Lineage: Eukaryota; Metazoa; Chordata; Mammalia; Rodentia; Sciuridae
Source: RefSeq, a predicted model, not a curated record
GGACAGCCUGAGGAAAGUUGAGGGACAGGUGUUCCGGGCAGCGGGAACGGCACCAUCAGAGGCUGGAGGCCCAGGAGACAGUGAGGCCCAGGAGACGAGCAGGACACGGCCAGUGGGUUACUGUAAGGGUGUCAGAAGGCCGAGGUGCCGCUCAGGGUUCAGAAAAGCCAGGUCAGGCAGUGGCCAGUCUCUCCCACCCUCAAAAUCCAGGAGUCCCGCUCGGUGCGAUCCCAGGCCCCCAGCCCCACCCUCCUGCCCUCGUGCACCCGGGCCUCGCCGAGGCUCACGGCCUCACUCCUGGAGCAGCUGGCCCCAUGCACCCUGGUGAGCCCCUGAGGGGAAGGUUCCCCCCCAGGACUGGUGUCCCUGCUCCCACGGAGCCCUCUCAACAAGACGGCUUUGUCUGCUAUCCGCGGACCCCAGCGCUCCCCCCAGGCUCCUGGCAGCCUGUGUGCAGCUCUGAAAGGAGGCUUUAUCUGCGUCCCAGGCCAGAUUGCUGGGAAGCCGAUGGCCAAUGGUCGGCUCCUGGGGCCAGGCAGAGCCCAGCCCUGGCUUCUGGGCUGCAGACACAGACAGGCCAGGACAAAGGGGCGCCCUCGGGGAGCAGCCAGACCAGGACCCACCGAGGAAGACAAGAGGACCACACAGCCCCCCACACCCCCUCCCCACCCCCACAGUCUUGUCACUCAAUCGCAGGGGUCAGUGACAGAGCCCUUUGUGCAGCCCUGCCCCGUGGGAGAGAGGAGGCAGGGACUCUGCUUUCUUUGUUGAAAAAUGAGUUGGUCACCAUUGCUGAACUGUGCAGUUUAAAAGAGCUGAAACAGAAAUCCUGUGUUCUUGAGCUGUGUAUCUCCAGUGCUAUCAUCUAGUCACAUUAAAAGUGUUCCAAAAGUA